CUCUUACAAUUUAGUGUUCAAACCGUUGCUCGGUCUAAGUUUCUAACAAGAAGACAAGUACAACUUACAUCUUAGAGGCUUAUAUAUAGUCUUUUGGAAAAAAUUUCAUAGUCGAAGAAAUUAAGGAAGUCUCUCUCCGUACCGUUUACAUUUGCAGCAAUGGGGUGUUUUUGCAUGCAAGGGAGUAAAAAGAAAGAAAAUAAAAAUAAAAAGAAUGCUUAUGCUUCCCCCGCGGCUUAUUCAGGUAAAGCUCCUAAGCGCAAAGGUGGCAGAAACGAUGGUGGCAUGGUUUUUAUGAGUACUGCUGCUUAUGCAAACACCUCCACUGAUCACAGUGGUGGAGGUGGAGGUUGUGGUGGUGGCGGAGGUGGAGGGGGUUGCGGUGGUGGAGGAGGAGGUUGCGGAGGCGGUGGUGGAUGAAGCUGAGUGGGUGGUGGCUUAAUUUGCUUGGGGUUUGUGGUGGUGGACUACUGGUGCUGGCUUUCAAGUUUUUUUUUUUUUUUUUGAGAAACGGCUUUCAAGUUUGUUAAGCAUGGAAUUAUAGUUUUGUUAUUCGUUCAUGAAUUGUUGGGUUUUACGUGAAGUUUAUUACUUGGCAAUAACUAUAAGAGGUUAUUGCAUGUAUAUUUUUUUUCCCGCCUUUUUUUGCUUAGUCUCAUGACUCAUGAUUCAUGAGGAUGUAGAACAAAGGUGUAUUUUUAUAUUCUAAAUAUAUUUAUUUAAUUCAAUGAAUAAGUCUCAGUUAGAUUU
Molecule: long non-coding RNA, 750 nt
Organism: Quercus robur (English oak)
Lineage: Eukaryota; Viridiplantae; Streptophyta; Magnoliopsida; Fagales; Fagaceae
Exons: 2
Source: RefSeq, a predicted model, not a curated record